AUUGAACGCUGGCGGCAUGCCUUACACAUGCAAGUCGAACGGUAACAGGGAGCUUGCUCCGCUGACGAGUGGCGAACGGGUGAGUAAUGUAUCGGAACGUACCAUUCAGUGGGGGAUAACGUAGCGAAAGUUACGCUAAUACCGCAUAUUCUGUGAGCAGGAAAGCAGGGGAUCGCAAGACCUUGCGCUGAUUGAGCGGCCGAUAUCAGAUUAGCUAGUUGGUGAGGUAAAGGCUCACCAAGGCGACGAUCUGUAGCGGGUCUGAGAGGAUGAUCCGCCACACUGGAACUGAGACACGGUCCAGACUCCUACGGGAGGCAGCAGUGGGGAAUUUUGGACAAUGGGGGCAACCCUGAUCCAGCCAUGCCGCGUGAGUGAAGAAGGCCUUCGGGUUGUAAAGCUCUUUCGGCCGGGAAAAAUCGCAUCAGUUAAUACCUGGUGUGGAUGAUGGUACCGGAAUAAGAAGACACCGGCUAACUACGUGACC
Molecule: ribosomal RNA, 487 nt
Filed under: uncultured bacterium
Lineage: Bacteria
Description: bacterial SSU rRNA
Rfam family: Bacterial small subunit ribosomal RNA
Source: RNAcentral